Molecule: long non-coding RNA, 570 nt
Filed under: Canis lupus familiaris (dog)
Lineage: Eukaryota; Metazoa; Chordata; Mammalia; Carnivora; Canidae
Description: lncRNA (ENSCAFG00040017895.1)
Source: RNAcentral
AUGCAAUUUGGUGAGUUAUACGGAUGGAGGAGAAAGCCAGUCCUCCUGGCCACCAUGCAGAAGUUAUUAAGAGUGGAAUGCAUUGGUUCUAGCAACUUGCAAAGUAGAUCCUUAAAAGCUGCCCUUGUAUGCAACACUUACCACUGCUUGAUAAGUUUUUUUUUUUUUUUAACAGGUCCUUUAAAUGUACCACUGAGCCAGCAAGAAGGUGAAGGAAAAGCCAAAAUCAAAAAGCCAGGAAUUCCUGAAGGCUUGACCCUUCCCAGACCCUGCUCCUGUGACCCAGCCAAUUUUACAGAAUCAGCAUUGCCCAAGUUCAUCGAGCCUUGGCACAUCCAAGUGGUCUUUCAUGACUUCUUCAUUAUAGGAAGAGAUGCAAGAGAGAAGUCUGCUGCGGAAGGCCUGCAUGCAACCUGGUGUCCUUAUGAAAAGAGGAAGCUUAAACCCACAGAGAAACACCAGGGGCAUGUGUACACCGAGGAAAGACCAUGCAAGGAGGCAGCAAGGUGUCUGCUAUCUGUAAGCCAAGGAGAGACCCCUCAACAGAAACCAGUCCUGCCGCCAUUUUGA